This 324-nucleotide ribosomal RNA is filed under the name uncultured eukaryote. RNAcentral describes it as "partial 18S ribosomal RNA". It matches the Rfam family "Eukaryotic small subunit ribosomal RNA", at positions 1470 to 1796 of the family's 1831-position model. The record is from RNAcentral.
CCCUUAGAUGUCCUGGGCUGCACGCGCGCUACACUGAUGUGUCCAGUAAGCACCUAACCUCUUCCGAAAGGAACGGGUAACCUUUGCAAAGCACAUCGUGAUGGGGAUAGAUUAUUGCAAUUAUUAGUCUUGAACGAGGAAUUCCUAGUAAGCACAAGUCAUGAGCUUGUGUUGAUUACGUCCCUGCCCUUUGUACACACCGCCCGUCGCUCCUACCGAUUGAAUGUUCCGGUGAGCUCUUCGGACUGCGCGGUCUGCAGUUUCUGCGUUCCGUGCGGAAAGUUGCGCAAACCUUAACAUUUAGAGGAAGGAGAAGUCGUAACA